GUAUGAUUCCUCUUAUAUUAAAUGUCCAGAGACAUAGGCAAACCCAUAGACAGAAAGCAGAUUAGUGGCUGUCGUGGGCUGAGGGGAGUGGGAACAAGGAAUGACUGCUAAUAGGUACAAGGUUUCUUUUCAGGGUGAUGAAAAUGUUCUGGAAUUGGACAUUAGUGAUAGUCACACAACCCUGUAAUGUGCUAAAGACCACUGGAUUGUACUCUUUAAGGGGUAAAUUUUAUAGUAUGGGAAUUAUAUCCCAAUUAAAAGGAAGUGAUGCAGAAGUGAAUGUGAAGAAAUUUCAGGAACAACUUAACCAAUUUAAUUCACAUAUAUUUUCCUCAUGUGGAUUUAUGAGUGAUAUAUGAUGAAAAUACUUCUCAAUUAAAUAUAAAAUUAACAUGUUAAGUGAUAAGAAAGCAUUAUGUCAUCUUUUAAUCGACAGUAAUUUUUCUCUUUUAGCUGCACCAAAAUAAAGUUACAUCUUACACAGAUGGCUUCUUUGAGUCAAUGAAAUAUGACAUGACAGAAGUGGCAUUGCAGAUUACUGGGAAAAAGGAGGUAAUAAUCAAUAAAUGGUGCCUGGAUAAUUGGUUAAACAUAUGGGGAAAAACUGAAUCCCACCCACACCAGUUACUAAACAUAAUUCCAGAUAAAGACUCAAUUUUCAAAGGUAAAAUUUUAAUACUUAUAGGAGAAAAUAUAGAACAUGUUUAUGACAGAGGCAGAGAAAGAUUCUUUAACAAGACACAAAAGGCACUAAGCAUAAUAGAAAACAAUGAUAUAUUCGACUAUAGUAAAAGUUCUAAAGCCACUGAAUUGGACAUGUUAAAAUGGUGAAUUUCAAAUUGUAUGAAUUCUACCUCAGUAAAAAUAUUAAGAACUGUUCAUCAAAAUCCACCAUAAAUAAUGUAAAAUAAAAACAGAAAAUAUACUUUGCAAGAACUAAAAUCAAUUAAAAAAAAAUGACAACCCAAAGGAACCCUGGACAAAAGACAUGAAGAGGCAAUUCAUAGAAUAGACUAUAUAGGGAAAAAAUAAACCUAUGAAAAGGUGUUUGACCUCAUUAGGGUUCAGCGAAACUCAAAUGAAGACAACAAAAAGAUAACUAUUUCCAUCUAGCAGAUAGGGAAAAUCAAGAAGUCAGACAAUACCAAAUAUUGGCAAGCAUCCGGAUCAAUGGGGACUUCUGUAUUCUGCUGAUGACAGCAUAAAUUGAUCCAUCUUUAUUUAUUUGUUUUAAAGAUUGGCACCUGAGCUAACAAGUGUUUCCUUUUUUUUUUCUUCUCCCCAAAGCCCCCCAGUACACAGUUGUAUACUCUAGUUGUGAGUGCCUCUGGUUGUGCUAUGUGGGACGCCACCUCAGCAUGGCUUGAUGAGUGGUGCCAUGCACAUGCCCAGGACCCUAACUGGCAAAGACCCUGGGCUGCCAAAGCGGAGCGUGCAAACUUAACCACUUGGCCGCGGGCAGCCCCCAUACAACAUGUUUAGAAAACAACUUAGCACUAUCUUGUAAUGUCAGAUAUUUGCCCUGAGAACCUGUAAUUUCUCCCUUCAGUACACUUAGAAAAAUUCUUGUAGGUGUACCGCAGUAAACGUGGAUAACCAUAUUCAUGGGGAUUCUGGGGAGCAGCAGCCGUGCUGGUGUAACUGUUUAAUCUCUCCAAAUCCCGCAGAAGGAUACACACAGCAGCCAGGAUUGCAAACUAAAACCCCACAGGCAAUGACUGCGACAAACUAGAUGACACAGAUCCCACAAACCCUGAAACCCCAGUGGAUGGAGACACACCCACGAGACCUGCAGCCGCCGCCGCUGUGUCAGAGGAAGCCGGAGGGAGCAAUGGCCCUCCUCACAAACCUAGGGACCCCAGAUAACGACAGUGAGUCACGGAAAAGCCAGCGGGCCAAGCGGAGAAGCGCGCCCGUCGCCAGGAGGGAGGCGCGUACUCCGCCAGCAACUGGGGACAAGGGGCGGACCCGGCCUAGGAAACCCUCAGAACUGACCAGCCCAGGCUCCCAUCCAGGACGAACCCCAGCUGAGGAGUAACUGCUGGAAGAGAAUCCAAAUGGAGCAGGGCUGAGAUAGGAAACCACCUUCUUGCCCUUGGGAGAAUUCUUCUAAGUCCCUCCGAAAGAGCGUCCACUUCCGAGGUUCUUUCCUUGUGGAUGAGCACAGGAGGAGCCGUGAAAGCUGAACACCUUAGGAAAGAAGGAAGGAAGCAAGAAGGCAAGCAGACCUCCAGUUAAACGUGGUAGACUGCCCACAUUCAUUAUAUCACCUCCUCUGGAAACCCCUCGAAAAUAAGAGUAAAAGGAUAAUAUCAAUGCAAGCCCAUGAAGAAAGUGGGACCAGGAGAGAAGACAUCAGGGACAAGCGAGUUCAUCCCAUUUCUGAAGAUGGAAAGUGGAUGGAGGGGUAGGAAUUGCCCAGAUGGAGCUGAGGAAGCUGCAGCUGAAGUGCUGGGGAGAGGGCUGACCAAGACGCCGGCUUCUUCCCCUUCUGAAUCCCGGGAGCCGCACGCCAUUCCCAGGCAGGAGACUGGAGGUUUCCUCUUGGACUCUGGCACCUGGAGCUCCGUGGAGAAGCAGGUCCCACCCAAGCUUAGAGCGCUCAUAGGAGCUUUUUAGCACCUUGAGCCUCAGUAUAAAUGGACAGACGUGAGAAAUGCCUCUACCACGUAAGAAGGAAACCAAAGCAAACUGGGAAAAGGAACCCGGAGGAACCAGAGACAAUGUGAGGAGUGGAAUAAAACAUUUAAGUAAAACUACAACUAACGUCUUUAGAGAGAAAAGAGAAUACAUUACACCCCUAAGAAAAGGAUACUGUAGAAAAGAAACAGAGAACUAGAAAUUGAAAAUGUGAUAGCAGAAAUAUUUAAAAAUCAAUAGGAAAAAAGGAAGAUAAAGCUUAGUAAGUUUCCCAAAAAAGAAAACCAGAAGACAAAAGAUUAAGGACUUAGAGGAAAAAUCCAGGAAUCUCAUUUCUGGCUACUAGGAAUGUCAGAGAGAACAGAGACGAAAGAAACGAUCAACCUAUACGAGAAAAUCUCCCCACACUGAAAGACAGGGGUUUCCAGAUUAAAAGGGUCCACCGAAUACCCAGCCCAAAGAUUUAAAGCACCCCCUCACCAAAGCACAAAGUUGUGAGAUUCAGCACACCUGGGAUGGAGAGAGUGUCCUGAAAGCUUUUAAAGAGAGAAAACAGUUUCCAUACAAAGAAAUAAGAAUUAGAAUGGCCCUUUCAACAGCUUCCUGUAAGCCAAAGGCAAUGGGACAGUGCCUUCAAAAUUCUGAACAGAGGUGUUUUCAGCCUAGACUUUAAUACCCACCAACAGUACCUGAGAGAAAAAUAAAGACAUUUUCAAACAUUCUAAAGCAUGUAUCAUCUAUGCACCCAUUUUUAGGAAACUGCGAGAGGCUACUGGUGGUCUAGUGGUUAAGAUCUUGGGUUCUCAUCACCAUGGCACGGGUUCAUUUCCUGGUCACAGAACCACACCACUCACCAGUCAGUUGUCGUACUGUGGCAGCUGCAUGUUGCUCUGAUGCUGAAAGCCAUGCCACCCGUAUAUUAAAUAUCAGCAGGGCCACCCAUGGUGGACAGGGUUCAGCAGAGCUUCUAGACUCAGACAGACUAGGAAGAAG
This is a long non-coding RNA of Equus caballus (horse), 3633 nucleotides long. RefSeq lists it as uncharacterized. The record is from RefSeq and is a predicted model, not a curated record. Lineage: Eukaryota; Metazoa; Chordata; Mammalia; Perissodactyla; Equidae.